This 429-nucleotide ribosomal RNA is filed under the name bacterium. Its description in RNAcentral is "partial 16S ribosomal RNA". It matches the Rfam family "Bacterial small subunit ribosomal RNA", at positions 355 to 776 of the family's 1533-position model. The record is from RNAcentral.
UAGGGAAUCUUCGGCAAUGGGGGCAACCCUGACCGAGCAACGCCGCGUGAGUGAAGAAGGUUUUCGGAUCGUAAAGCUCUGUUGUAAGAGAAGAACGUGUGUGAGAGUGGAAAGUUCACACAGUGACGGUAACUUACCAGAAAGGGACGGCUAACUACGUGCCAGCAGCCGCGGUAAUACGUAGGUCCCGAGCGUUGUCCGGAUUUAUUGGGCGUAAAGCGAGCGCAGGCGGUUUAAUAAGUCUGAAGUUAAAGGCAGUGGCUUAACCAUUGUUCGCUUUGGAAACUGUUAAACUUGAGUGCAGAAGGGGAGAGUGGAAUUCCAUGUGUAGUGGUGAAAUGCGUAGAUAUAUGGAGGAACACCGGUGGCGAAAGCGGCUCUCUGGUCUGUAACUGACGCUGAGGCUCGAAAGCGUGGGGAGCAAACAGG